CCCUGGAAACGGGGUCUAAUACCGGAUAACAGCUUCCAUCGCAUGGUGGGGGUUUGAAAGCUCCGGCGGUGCAGGAUGAGCCCGCGGCCUAUCAGCUUGUUGGUGAGGUAGUGGCUCACCAAGGCGACGACGGGUAGCCGGCCUGAGAGGGCGACCGGCCACACUGGGACUGAGACACGGCCCAGACUCCUACGGGAGGCAGCAGUGGGGAAUAUUGCACAAUGGGCGAAAGCCUGAUGCAGCGACGCCGCGUGAGGGAUGACGGCCUUCGGGUUGUAAACCUCUUUCAGCAGGGAAGAAGCGAGAGUGACGGUACCUGCAGAAGAAGCGCCGGCUAACUACGUGCCAGCAGCCGCGGUAAUACGUAGGGCGCAAGCGUUGUCCGGAAUUAUUGGGCGUAAAGAGCUCGUAGGCGGCUUGUCGCGUCGGUUGUGAAAGCCCGGGGCUUAACCCCGGGUCUGCAGUCGAUACGGGCAGGCUAGAGUUCGGUAGGGGAGAUCGGAAUUCCUGGUGUAGCGGUGAAAUGCGCAGAUAUCAGGAGGAACACCGGUGGCGAAGGCGGAUCUCUGGGCCGAUACUGACGCUGAGGAGCGAAAGCGUGGGGAGCGAACAGGAUUAGAUACCCUGGUAGUCCACGCCGUAAACGGUGGGCACUAGGUGUGGG
This 664-nucleotide ribosomal RNA is filed under the name Streptomyces sp. RNAcentral describes it as "bacterial SSU rRNA". It matches the Rfam family "Bacterial small subunit ribosomal RNA", at positions 148 to 826 of the family's 1533-position model. The record is from RNAcentral. Lineage: Bacteria; Bacillati; Actinomycetota; Actinomycetes; Kitasatosporales; Streptomycetaceae.